Molecule: ribosomal RNA, 497 nt
Filed under: uncultured bacterium
Lineage: Bacteria
Description: partial 16S ribosomal RNA
Rfam family: Bacterial small subunit ribosomal RNA
Source: RNAcentral
GAUGAACGCUGGCGGCGUGCCUAAUACAUGCAAGUCGAGCGAACAGACGAGGAGCUUGCUCCUUUGACGUUAGCGGCGGACGGGUGAGUAACACGUGGGUAACCUACCUAUAAGACUGGGAUAACUUCGGGAAACCGGAGCUAAUACCGGAUAAUAUUUCGAACCGCAUGGUUCGAUAGUGAAAGAUGGCUUUGCUAUCACUUAUAGAUGGACCUGCGCCGUAUUAGCUAGUUGGUAAGGUAACGGCUUACCAAGGCAACGAUACGUAGCCGACCUGAGAGGGUGAUCGGCCACACUGGAACUGAGACACGGUCCAGACUCCUACGGGAGGCAGCAGUAGGGAAUCUACCGCAAUGGGCGAAAGCCUGACGGAGCAACGCCGCGUGAGUGAUGAAGGUCUUCGGAUCGUAAAACUCUGUUAUUAGGGAAGAACAAACGUGUAAGUAACUGUGCACGUCUUGACGGUACCUAAUCAGAAAGCCACGGCUAACUACGUG